Molecule: ribosomal RNA, 702 nt
Filed under: uncultured Glomerales
Lineage: Eukaryota; Fungi; Glomeromycota; Glomeromycetes; Glomerales; Glomeraceae
Description: LSU rRNA
Rfam family: Eukaryotic large subunit ribosomal RNA
Source: RNAcentral
GCAUAUCAAUAAGCGGAGGAAAAGAAACUAACAAGGAUUCCCUUAGUAACGGCGAGUGAAGAGGGAAGAGCUCAAAUUUUAAAUCUAUCAUGUUUGUACAUGAUCGAGUUGUAAUUUGAAGAAGCGUUUUCUCGUACUUUAUGCAAUCAGUAUAAGUUCUCUUGGAACAGGACAUCAUAGAGGGUGAUAAUCCCGUCUGUUACUGGUUGUGAGGUUCGUUAUGAUACGCUUUCAAAGAGUCGAGUUGUUUGGGAUUGCAGCUCCAAAUGGGUGGUAAACAUCACCUAAGGCUAAAUAUUUGCGAGAGACCGAUAGCGAACAAGUACCGUGAGGGAAAGAUGAAAAGAACUUUGAAAAGAGAGUUAAAAAGUAUGUGAAAUUGUUGAAAGGGAAACGAUUGAAGUCAGUCGUGCAGUCAUCAAUUCAGCGGUUAACAUUUUUAUGUUCCCGUGUAAUUUGGUGUCUGUUGGUUAGCAUCAAUUUUGAUUGUUAUAAAAAGGUUAAGGGGAUGUGGCUCCUUCGGGAGUGUUAUAACCCUUAGCGUAAUGUAACGAUUAGGAUUGAGGUUUGCAACGAAUACCUUUUAGGGCAGUUUCACCUGGCCUCUCGUGGAAUUAUAGAUAGUUAAGAGCAUGCUCUUACUGUCUAUGAUUCUACGAAAAGGUUGGAGUGUAAAACUAAUUCGUUAAGGAUGUUGACGUA